UCCAAUGAUGGGAGUAUAUCAUGAACCAAGGAUUUUGAUUAAUCUAAUUUAUGUACCUGAGAUCAAUU
This 68-nucleotide small nucleolar RNA is filed under the name Choloepus hoffmanni (Hoffmann's two-fingered sloth). RNAcentral describes it as "Small nucleolar RNA SNORD112 (ENSCHOG00000016152.1)". The record is from RNAcentral. Lineage: Eukaryota; Metazoa; Chordata; Mammalia; Pilosa; Megalonychidae.